AUUGAACGCUGGCGGCAUGCCUUACACAUGCAAGUCGAACGGCAGCACGGACUUCGGUCUGGUGGCGAGUGGCCGAACGGGUGAGUAAUGUAUCGGAACGUACCUUUCAGUUGGGGGAUAACGUAGCGAAAGUUAACGCUAAUACCGCAUAUUCUGUGAGCAGGAAAGCAGGGGAUCGCAAGACCUUGCGCUGAUUGAGCGGCCGAUAUCAGAUUAGCUAGUUGGUGGGGUAAAGGCCUACCAAGGCUACGAUCUGUAGCGGGUCUGAGAGGUAUGAUCCGCCACACUGGAACUGAGACACGGUCCAGACUCCUACGGAGGCAGCAGUGGGGAAUCUUGCGCAAUGGGCGAAAGCCUGACGCAGC
This 365-nucleotide ribosomal RNA is filed under the name uncultured bacterium. Its description in RNAcentral is "bacterial SSU rRNA". It matches the Rfam family "Bacterial small subunit ribosomal RNA", at positions 30 to 392 of the family's 1533-position model. The record is from RNAcentral.